UACGAAGGGGGCUAGCGUUGUUCGGAAUUACUGGGCGUAAAGCGCAUGUAGGCGGCGAUUCAAGUCGGGGGUGAAAUCCCAGGGCUCAACCCUGGAACUGCCUUCGAUACUGUAUUGCUAGAGUAUGGAAGAGGUAGGUGGAACUGCGAGUGUAGAGGUGAAAUUCGUAGAUAUUCGCAAGAACACCAGUGGCGAAGGCGGCCUACUGGUCCAUCACUGACGCUGAGAUGCGAAAGCGUGGGGAGCAAACAGG
Molecule: ribosomal RNA, 253 nt
Filed under: uncultured bacterium
Lineage: Bacteria
Description: partial 16S ribosomal RNA
Rfam family: Bacterial small subunit ribosomal RNA
Source: RNAcentral